ACUUACCGCCAACAUUUGAAAAGAAUACCGUUUGCGUUGCGUUGCAGUUUAUUGAGCUCGAUCGAGAAGUGGGACGAAGAAGGCCGUUAAUAAUUCAACUACUUAAAGAAUGCGGGUUAGAUGUGGACGACUUCGAAGACAUUUGCAGUAGGCUAAACAGAGAAAGAGAGGGAGACCCAAAACUACUUGUCCUGGCAUCACAUUUGAGGAGGAGAUGGAGUCGGUGAAUAUGACCUAGCCCGGGGGAGUUUCCAGAAGACGGCCCAGAACCACUGGCCGCCAGGAGUGGAGGUCCUUUGUUGUUGCUCUACAUGUCAGGAGGCAUCGGGCAGUAGCCCUGGUAGAAGCACCAUCUUGAUACCAUCAUUCAAACUCUCAUCAGCUGUAUCAUUAUAGGUGGACUAAAAGAACAAUAUUCAUGCAGAUAUAAUGAUGCCUUAAGUUGAAAUGGAAGGUGUCCUGAAUCUGCACCCAUUCAUCUGGUUUCGUAACUCCUUUCAUAGUGCUAUUGGAACCUGCUCCCUACCAGUAUAACAUCAAACAGAUUGGAAGAAUAAAGGCCAAUGGGAAGUGCCUUUUAUAUUUCUACUUGCCACAAAGCAGUCCAUGGUUUAGCGCAAUCUAAACUGGACUAUUGUAAUGCUCUUCGUGCUUGAAUUAGGGCGAUCUGGACUGACUGCAGAUAGUACAGAAUGCUGCAUCUAUUGUGCCAUUUGCCAUACGCCAACUUCGCUGGCUGCAAGUCAAGGAAAGGAUAUACAUGAACAUCAGUGUCCGUCUCCUGAUUUUCAAAGUCAAUGACAGAGAUCCAGAUUACAUGUAUUAUAAGGAAUCCCUUGUGCGUCAUUUUCAUUCUAGGCGCACUUGCCUUUUUAUUUUUGUGAUCAUUACGCACCUACAAAUUAGCUACUGGUGAUGCAACUUUCUCCACUACUGCUCCAAGGCCAUGGAAUUAGCUCCUUCCUCUCCUCCAGUUGUCAACAACCUUGGAUCAAUCCAAAUACAAUUUGAGAAGACCUACUAUAUUCCUGAUCUUUGCUCUGUACCUACAACAAUACUGUCACUGCCUGGUAAUUUGAAUUUUUUUAAAUCUCAUGUGCUGACUACAGUAGGAUGGCGUCUCAAUUCAUCCAAAUUAGACAAGGGAUAAUAAAGUAAUGUAUGACAUUCUAACCUCUGCAUUAUUUUGGUGAAAGAACUCUAAGCAUAUAUGCAAGAAGCAAGCUGAUGAUGUCAUACUGACGUACAUUGUACAUGUACACGUAUCCCCAACUUAUUAUUUUGUAUAUAAAAUUGUGCAUUUAAUUUUGUUUACCAAGAAUGAAACAAAUCGGAUUGUAAACUGUAUUGAUGUGACUUACCUGUAUUGAUUAUUGCUGGAAGUUCUUUUGCUACAUGGGAUUGGAAGACAUACUUAUUACACACAUGAAGUAAAUUAUUAUUUUAUCUGGUAACAUGAGAACAAUAAAAAUGUGGGCAUGAUAUCAUAAACUUACAUGUAUCUACUUGCAUGUGUUGAUGACCAAUAUUUUUGUAAUUAUUUUUUUUUUAAUUUUAUCUGAUUUUGAUAAAAUUUUCACUAUUUUGCAUGGUAAAAAUUACUUUAUUUUAGAUUAUGUUGAGCCUGUAUCAUAUACAAGUACAACUUUAAAGAUAAAUUACCAGUUGUAGUAACAAUCUUAAAAUGAGUUCGAACAGAAUCCAAUAGAAUUACCAGCAAAAUAUAAAAGACAUGUGCCAUAAUUAAUUAUAGCUCGGGAAGAAAAUGUGUAAUUGCUGAGAAAUGAGCAAAAUAAGCAUGUAAUUCUAUCCAAUGUCAGGUAUUUUUCAAAUCAAUCAUAAUACACUGUCCUGUCCCACAUGUUCUUUUCUGUGUUAGUGAUCAUCAAAAUAAUUAAUUUUAAGUUCAAAAUUAGUGAUUUUACAAAAAUACAAGCUUACAUUAAUGUACCAGAUCUAGAGAUUAUGUACAAUAUUUUGACAAUUUCUCAUGAAAUAAUUGUUUGCUGCAACUGCUGUCUUUUUAAUACGUUUAAGUGAUAGUGUAAUACAACCACAAACUUUUCUUAAGAAUUAAUGUACAUGUAUGAUUCUUUCACCCAAAUUUACAUGCAUUGAUACUGUUGACUACUUGCCAAAAGUUCCUGCCAAAAGCCUUUUUUAACGAUGUACAUGCUUUUAUAGACGACCUGCCAAAACAUUGUAUUGUAUUAUAUUCAAGGUCCAACCAAAAAGAGAUGAAUAAAAUGUUUGAAGGAAAUUGAAAUUAACUUUUAAAAUGAUAGAGCUCUGUCAAUGCAGUAUUAUUACAGGGUUCCCACAGUCAUGGAAAAUCCUGGAAAAAAAUUGGUCAUGGAAAGUCAGGGAUAUGUGAAAAGUCAUGGAAUUGCAUUUACCUCUUGGCUAUGACAGCUUUCUAGUUUUUUAUGUCUCACAACUCUCAUACUCUGUGAUUGUACUCUACUAUUAUAAUUGGUGUUCAUGAUCAUAACAUGUCUGAUUUUGUAAACUGUGCCAGAAAGGAAUUAAGUCAUGGAAAGCAGCAAUUUAGUCAUGGAGAGGUCAUGGAAUUCUGUUUUCAAAUUUCUGUGGGAACCAUGAAUAGGUUUGUGCACUUGACACAGUGUGCACUACAGAUGAACUUUGUAAUGCCAUGAUAUAAACCAGUACAAUAUCUUAAAGGAAAAUAAAACCCAAAAUAUAAUACCACAUGAUACCAUUGAUAAAUACAGGACAAUGAAAAUGAAUCCACUCAUAUACCCCCAAUCCGAUGUCCCAGUAUGGAGUACCACCUUUUCAAAGUUGGCAUCUUCUGGUACAAAGUCUAUGGAUGGGGAUUAUUCCGUCAGCGAUGAACUACAUCUCUAAACGUUUGGGCAUUAUAUAUUCUAUUUCAUCGAUAAUAAAUCAAAUGUACAGAUAAAACUCAUAAAAUAUUAAUUAAAAUUUGUUUAAUAUUAUAUGAUAGGUUCAAAUUACGACUUGAUGAGUUUUAAUGAUAAAAAUUACACCCUAAUCUACGAUUUACAAAUUGGCAGCGGAAAUUGGGGUGUAAAUCUUAUCAUUAAAACUCAUCAAAUUGUAUUUUGAACCUACCAUAUAUUAAACAAAUUUUAACUAAUAUUUUUAUGAGUUUUAUCUGUACAUUUGAUUUGUUAUUAAUAAAAUAGAAUAUAUAAUGCCUGAACGUUUAGAGAUGUAGUUCGUCGCUGAUGUAAUAAUUUCCUAACUAACCCCGCGAAAAUGGCGACCUCCAUCCAGAAACUUCGAACCAUACUGUAAGAGGCCAACUUUGAAAAGGUGGUACUCCGUAAUUGGAUUAGGGUAUGAGUGGAUUCAUGUUGAUUGUCCUGUAUUUAUCAAUAAUAUCAUGUGGUAUUAUGUUUUGGGUGUUAUUUUCCUUUAAUUCAGAUAUUACAUGCCAGGGUAUUGUCCUAGUUUUCAUUUUCUCCAAAUACAUAUUAUCAUCUCUCGUCUAUUUCUACUUGCCCUUCAGCCUUGAAGUAAACUUGGGAUAAUUAUGCAUUUUGUUAUACGCAAUUUUGAGUACAGUGCACUUUGCCGCAGCUACUUAUAUAUUACCUAUUGUAGACACAUCCUUAUGUUUUGUUCAUUUUCUUAAAAACGAUUAAGAGUUUAAUCAUUUUUGUCUUUAAGCAUAAAACAAAGAGUAAAUCAGUCCAUUCUGUAUGUGUGACCUGCAAAAAAACUACAAUGGUCGUUAAUUUGGUUUGCUGAAAAGCCAGAUAACCUUUGAGGUAACUUUUUAAAGUAUUUAGAAGAAAUGUAUCUUUUUUAAAAGUAUUUAUAUGCACUGUAACUAAUUUCUUUGAUAGUUACUAUUAUGUUACACUGUUUGUACAGUAAAGCAGCUGUUACACAAUUUUUGUCAAUAGCAAAUCUAAACCAGUAUUGUAAAUUGAUGACUCUAUGAGCUAAAUACCAGUACUUUCUAUAUCA
Lytechinus pictus (painted urchin) is the source of this 3960-nucleotide long non-coding RNA. RefSeq lists it as uncharacterized. NCBI's taxonomy places the organism in Eukaryota, Metazoa, Echinodermata, Echinoidea, Temnopleuroida, Toxopneustidae. The record is from RefSeq and is a predicted model, not a curated record. The transcript is spliced from 4 exons.